GUCCAGGGAUGGGAUUCGAACCCACAGUGUUCCGCUUACCGGGCAGAUGCCAUGUCCACUAGGCUACCCUGGA
Molecule: transfer RNA, 73 nt
Filed under: Cordylochernes scorpioides
Lineage: Eukaryota; Metazoa; Arthropoda; Arachnida; Pseudoscorpiones; Chernetidae
Description: tRNA-Thr
Source: RNAcentral